GACGAACGCUGGCGGCGUGCUUAACACGUGCAAGUCGAACGGUAAGGCCCUUCGGGGUACACGAGUGGCGAACGGGUGAGUAACACGUGGGUGAUCUGCCCUGCACUUCGGGAUAAGCCUGGGAAACUGGGUCUAAUACCGGAUAGGACCACUGCCUGCAUGGGUGGUGGUGGAAAGCUGUUGCGGUGUGGGAUGGGCCCGCGGCCUAUCAGCUUGUUGGUGGGGUGAUGGCCUACCAAGGCGACGACGGGUAGCCGGCCUGAGAGGGUGACCGGCCACACUGGGACUGAGAUACGGCCCAGACUCCUACGGGAGGCAGCAGUGGGGAAUAUUGCACAAUGGGCGCAAGCCUGAUGCAGCGACGCCGCGUGAGGGAUGACGGCCUUCGGGUUGUAAACCUCUUUCAGCACCGACGAAGCGCAAGUGACGGUAGGUGCAGAAGAAGGACCGGCCAACUACGUGCCAGCAGCCGCCGUAA
This 478-nucleotide ribosomal RNA is filed under the name uncultured bacterium. RNAcentral describes it as "partial 16S ribosomal RNA". It matches the Rfam family "Bacterial small subunit ribosomal RNA", at positions 28 to 523 of the family's 1533-position model. The record is from RNAcentral.